Molecule: unclassified non-coding RNA, 184 nt
Filed under: soil metagenome
Description: partial contains 5.8S ribosomal RNA, internal transcribed spacer 2, and large subunit ribosomal RNA
Source: RNAcentral
AACCAUAGAAACCUGCGGAGUACCUGCGGAAGGAUCAUUAACGAAUGGUCUUUGUACCUUCAAAACCCCUCAAACCAGUGGACAUGAAAAUGUGCUUCGGCGCUCCGGCGCCGCUUUUAUGCUGUAAUUCUGUCAUUUGUGUCUGAAUGCAAAGCAAAGAAUCAAAACUUUUAGCAACGGAUCU